AUCUUAAGUUUUUGGGAUACGAUUGCUUUCAAGCAAUCUGUAGACUUAUACCGGUGGCUCAGAGCAAUUUCCCUCACGUCAAUCGUUUUAUUCUAAACAUUAAGGAACAUCUCAGAUUCUUAUGAUUGUCUUGCUUUAAAAGGUAAAAACAAACAAAGGGAUUGAACUUAAUCAACUUUCCUAUAAUGUUCUUUUCAUAAUCUUCAUGUUUGAUAAUUCCCUUGACUUCGAUGCGUGUUUUUAACAACACGGAAAAUCAGAAUUAAGCAGUAUUUAUAUUUAGUGUAGUUAUAAAUAUAGAAACACGUCAGAGGGAAUUCCCAGUUUUGAUAAAAUGCGAGAGUUCUCUGAAUACCGA
This 358-nucleotide long non-coding RNA is filed under the name Mytilus galloprovincialis (Mediterranean mussel). Lineage: Eukaryota; Metazoa; Mollusca; Bivalvia; Mytilida; Mytilidae. The record is from RNAcentral.